RNAcentral lists this transfer RNA (24 nucleotides) under Rhynchocyon udzungwensis (grey-faced sengi). Its description in RNAcentral is "partial tRNA-Gln". Lineage: Eukaryota; Metazoa; Chordata; Mammalia; Macroscelidea; Macroscelididae. The record is from RNAcentral.
UGGGUUCGAAUCCCAUAAUUUUAG